AUAGCGUAUAUUAAAGUUGUUGCAGUUAAAAAGCUCGUAGUUGAACUUCAGACCUGGCCGGGCGGUCCGCCUUUCUGGCGAGUACUGUCUGGCUGGGCCUUACCUCUUGGUGAACCGGCGUGCCCUUUAUUGGUGUGCGUCGGGGAACUAGGACGAUUACCUUGAGAAAAUUAGAGUGUUCAAAGCAGGCACAUGCCUGAAUACAUUAGCAUGGAAUAACAAAGUAGGACGUGCGGUUCUAUUUUGUUGGUUUCUAGAGUCGCCGUAAUGAUUAAUAGGGAUAGUUGGGGGCAUUGGUAUUGAGUCGCUAGAGGUGAAAUUCUUGGAUUGACUCAAGACCGACUAUUG
Molecule: ribosomal RNA, 348 nt
Filed under: uncultured eukaryote
Lineage: Eukaryota
Description: SSU rRNA
Rfam family: Eukaryotic small subunit ribosomal RNA
Source: RNAcentral